Molecule: unclassified non-coding RNA, 2059 nt
Filed under: Daphnia magna
Lineage: Eukaryota; Metazoa; Arthropoda; Branchiopoda; Diplostraca; Daphniidae
Description: glutamic acid-rich protein, transcript variant X2
Source: RNAcentral
CUGUUUAUUUACAUUAUCACCAUAAGAAAAUGAUUUCAGAAUCGGAGGGUGACAAGAGUUGUGAGGAAGGACAAGACGUAGCAAGGAGGAGGCUGGAUGAAGCUUUGAUACAGAAGAAAAAACAGUUCCAGAAUUUAAGGAACAUUAAAGGAAGAACAAUAAAACGGCGAGAUACGGAUAAACAACAGAGACUUACUGCGUUCAAGGAGUCUUACAAAGGGAAAAAAGAGGUACCUCAAAGAAACAAGCCAUGGUCGGUUCUUGAGUGGCAAAACCAUUGGAAUUCCCUUGACCAAAGACAACAGGACAAUCUAGAUCGCAAGAAGUCUCACUGCCAUUUAAGUAUUGGUUCGAAGAUUAAUGAGAUGGCUGCAGAUUACAAUGCCUCAGUAAUUUGCUUAAUCCGUUACCCCAAUGGAACUCAACACACCAAGUAUGUGUUAGUAAGCGGAGGUGGAAUUAAAUAUUCCAAAUCAAGAGACGGUGUUCUAACUGAACAACUCUGGCAUAGAUAUUGGAACAAAAAACAAAAUAAACGACAACAGUUAUGUGAGGAGAAUGGCCUGUGGCUUGAGAGAGCCAGUAAAAGAAAAAGAAAAGAGAGAACAGUGGAAAGGACAGAGAAAGAGAAAAGUAUGCAAUCAGGAAACAGGAAACAGAGAAAGAGAGAAAGACAAUUUGAUAAUGAGAACGUAGAGAGUGAAGAAGAAUACAAUGAAAGAUUGGACAGCGGAAUAGAGAAUCAGAACAUAGGAAAAUCACACAACGAGACAGUAGAAAGCGAAGAAGAUAACGACGAAAGAUUGGAAAGGGGGAUAUGGAAUCAGACAAUAGGACAAACACGUAAUGAGAGCGUAGAGAGCGAUGAAGAAAAUGAUGAAAGAUUAGACAGGGGAAUAUGGAAUCAGACAACAGGCGACAAUGGGAAUAAUGAGAGAGUAGAGAGCGAUGAAGAAAACGAUAAAAUAGGAGAAACAAGUAAUGUAGAAAGCGAAGAAGAAUACGACGGAAGAUGGGACAAAGGAAUAGGGAGCCAGAAAAUAAGACAAUCAGAUAACGAGAGCGUACGAAGCGAAGAAGAAAACUUUGAAAUAUGGGGGGGGGGAAAUGGGGAACAGGUAACAAAUAUAUACAAAAUAGAAUUCAAAUUUCAAAGAUUGUUUGUUACAACAUAACAAGGGUACAAAGCAAACAGACAAUGACCCUUUAGAAAACGAAGAAGAAGACGAGGAAGGAAGGAGCAAAGGCAUGGGAAAACAGAAAAAAGAAGGAAGGGAAUCAGAUAAUGAAAUAGUACAAAACGAAGAAAAAGACGAGGAAGGAUGGGAAAAAGAAAUGAAAAAACGGGAAACAAAUAUAUACCAGAAUAAACAUACUAGUUUGAAACAUUCUUUUUUAUAAUAGAAAGAGGAAAGAAGGCAUCCGUCGACUGAGGCUUCCGAGGCCAGCGAGACGGCUGCUGCUGAGGCUGAAUCGUAUGAAAUCAUGGUCAAAGCGAAUCGAUCAUUCGCGGACAGAAUCGGGGCGGUUACGCGUUCAAAAUUGGCAAUUGAAAAUAGAGCUACUAUUAUUCACAUAAACUACAAAGAAUGGAAAUAAAGAUAAACAAUUUUUGUAGAUCCUAAAUUGGCACAAUUGCCUCAUGUAAAAAUAAACCGUCUGCCGUCAUCUAUUGCUCACCAGGAAAAAAGAACAGAAACAGGAAGAGGAGAAGGAAAAGGAGCAGGAAGAGGAACAGGAAGAGGAUCAGGAAGAGGAUCAGUAUCAGGUUCAGGAACAGGUUUAGGAACAGGAACAUAUACAGGAAGAGGAAGAGGGAUAGGGAGAGGAACAGGAACAAGAACAGGAAAAGGAACAGGAACAGGAACAGGAACAGAAACAGGAACGGGAACAAGACGAGUAGGAAGACCACGAAAAGAAGAAAAACGUUUGUUGAAGCAGUAAAAUUAACAUUGUGCGUACUUUUUGUGUAUGUUUAAAAAUAACUGGCAGUAACCUAGUCCUUAUUUUGAUAUUAAUCCGGUCAGGCAAGAGGAAUACAACGAAUUCAGAAGCAGAA